GACGAACGCUGGCGGCGUGCUUAACACAUGCAAGUCGAACGGAAAGGCCCUGCUUUUGUGGGGUGCUCGAGUGGCGAACGGGUGAGUAACACGUGAGUAACCUGCCCUUGACUUUGGGAUAACUUCAGGAAACUGGGGCUAAUACCGGAUAGGAGCUCCUGCUGCAUGGUGGGGGUUGGAAAGUUUCGGCGGUUGGGGAUGGACUCGCGGCUUAUCAGCUUGUUGGUGGGGUAGUGGCUUACAAAGGUUUUGACGGGUAGCCGGCCUGAGAGGGUGACCGGCCACAUUGGGACUGAGAUACGGCCCAGACUCCUACGGGAGGCAGCAGUGGGGAAUAUUGCACAAUGGGCGGAAGCCUGAUGCAGCAACGCCGCGUGCGGGAUGACGGCCUUCGGGUUGUAAACCGCUUUCGCCUGUGACGAAGCGUGAGUGACGGUAAUGGGUAAAGAAGCACCGGCUAACUACGUG
Molecule: ribosomal RNA, 468 nt
Filed under: uncultured bacterium
Lineage: Bacteria
Description: partial 16S ribosomal RNA
Rfam family: Bacterial small subunit ribosomal RNA
Source: RNAcentral